UUAAGUGAAUAAGGGCGCACGGUGGAUGCCUUGGCACUAGGAGCCGAUGAAGGACGGGACUAACACCGAUAUGCUUUGGGGAGCUGUAAGUAAGCUAUGAUCCAGAGAUUUCCGAAUGGGGGAACCCAAUAUUUUUUAUAGGAUAUUACUUUUCAGUGAAUACAUAGCUGAUUAGAGGUAGACGCAGAGAACUGAAACAUCUUAGUACCUGCAGGAAGAGAAAGAAAAUUCGAUUCCCUGAGUAGCGGCGAGCGAAACGGGAAGAGCCCAAACCAACAAGCUUGCUUGUUGGGGUUGUAGGACUCCGAUAUGGUAGUCUGUUAGUAUAGUUGAAGGAUUUGGAAAAUUCCGCUAAAGAGGGUGAAAGCCCCGUAGACGAAAUGCUGACAACACCUAGGAGGAUCCUGAGUACGGCGGAACACGAGAAAUUCCGUCGGAAUCCGCGGGGACCAUCCCGCAAGGCUAAAUACUCCCUAGUGACCGAUAGUGAACCAGUACCGUGAGGGAAAGGUGAAAAGCACCCCGGAAGGGGAGUGAAAUAGAUCCUGAAACCGUGUGCCUACAACAAGUCAAAGCUCGUUAAUGAGUGAUGGCGUGCCUUUUGUAGAAUGAACCGGCGAGUUACGAUUGCAUGCGAGGUUAAGUCGAAGAGACGGAGCCGCAGCGAAAGCGAGUCUGAAUAGGGCGAAUGAGUAUGUAGUCGUAGACCCGAAACCAUGUGAUCUACCCAUGUCCAGGUUGAAGGUGCGGUAAAACGCACUGGAGGACCGAACCCACGUACGUUGAAAAGUGCGGGGAUGAGGUGUGGGUAGCGGAGAAAUUCCAAACGAACUUGGAGAUAGCUGGUUCUCUCCGAAAUAGCUUUAGGGCUAGCCUCGGAAUUGAGAAUGAUGGAGGUAGAGCACUGUUUGGACUAGGGGCCCAUCUCGGGUUACCGAAUUCAGAUAAACUCCGAAUGCCAUUCAUUUAUAUCCGGGAGUCAGACUGCGAGUGAUAAGAUCCGUAGUCGAAAGGGAAACAGCCCAGACCACCAGCUAAGGUCCCAAAAUAUAUGUUAAGUGGAAAAGGAUGUGGGGUUGCACAGACAACUAGGAUGUUGGCUUAGAAGCAGCCACCAUUUAAAGAGUGCGUAAUAGCUCACUAGUCGAGUGACCCUGCGCCGAAAAUGUACCGGGGCUAAACAUAUUACCGAAGCUGUGGACUACACCAUUAGGUGUAGUGGUAGGAGAGCGUUCUAAGGGCGUUGAAGGUCGAUCGUGAGGACGGCUGGAGCGCUUAGAAGUGAGAAUGCCGGUAUGAGUAGCGAAAGACAGGUGAGAAUCCUGUCCACCGUAUGACUAAGGUUUCCUGGGGAAGGCUCGUCCGCCCAGGGUUAGUCGGGACCUAAGCCGAGGCCGAUAGGCGUAGGCGAUGGACAACAGGUUGAUAUUCCUGUACCAGUUGUUUUUGUUUGAGCAAUGGAGGGACGCAGUAGGCUAAGGAAUGCAUGCGAUUGGAAGUGCAUGUCCAAGCAAUGAGUCUUGAGUAGAGUUAAAUGCUUUACUCUCUAAGGACAAGUUGUGACGGGGAGCGAAAUAAUAGUAGCGAAGUUCCUGAUGUCACACUGCCAAGAAAAGCUUCUAGUGAGAAAACAACUGCCCGUACCGUAAACCGACACAGGUAGUCGAGGAGAGUAUCCUAAGGUGAGCGAGCGAACUCUCGUUAAGGAACUCGGCAAAAUGACCCCGUAACUUCGGGAGAAGGGGUGCUGACUUCGGUCAGCCGCAGUGAAUAGGCCCAAGCGACUGUUUAUCAAAAACACAGGUCUCUGCAAAAUCGUAAGAUGAAGUAUAGGGGCUGACGCCUGCCCGGUGCUGGAAGGUUAAGAGGAUGGGUUAGCUUCGGCGAAGCUCAGAAUUGAAGCCCCAGUAAACGGCGGCCGUAACUAUAACGGUCCUAAGGUAGCGAAAUUCCUUGUCGGGUAAGUUCCGACCCGCACGAAAGGCGUAACGAUUUGGGCACUGUCUCAACGAGAGACUCGGUGAAAUUUUAGUACCUGUGAAGAUGCAGGUUACCCGCGACAGGACGGAAAGACCCCAUGGAGCUUUACUGUAGUUUGAUAUUGAGUGUUUGUACCACAUGUACAGGAUAGGUAGGAGCCGAUGAGACCGGAACGCUAGUUUCGGAGGAGGCGCUGGUGGGAUACUACCCUUGUGUUAUGAACCCUCUAACCCGCACCACUAAUCGUGGUGGGAGACAGUGUCAGAUGGGCAGUUUGACUGGGGCGGUCGCCUCCUAAAAGGUAACGGAGGCGCCCAAAGGUUCCCUCAGAAUGGUUGGAAAUCAUUCGAAGAGUGUAAAGGCAGAAGGGAGCUUGACUGCGAGACCUACAAGUCGAGCAGGGACGAAAGUCGGGCUUAGUGAUCCGGUGGUUCCGCAUGGAAGGGCCAUCGCUCAACGGAUAAAAGCUACCCUGGGGAUAACAGGCUUAUCUCCCCCAAGAGUCCACAUCGACGGGGAGGUUUGGCACCUCGAUGUCGGCUCGUCGCAUCCUGGGGCUGUAGUCGGUCCCAAGGGUUGGGCUGUUCGCCCAUUAAAGCGGCACGCGAGCUGGGUUCAGAACGUCGUGAGACAGUUCGGUCCCUAUCCGUCGCGGGCGUUGGAAAUUUGAGAGGAGCUGUCCUUAGUACGAGAGGACCGGGAUGGACUUACCGCUGGUGUACCAGUUGUUCUGCCAAGGGCAUUGCUGGGUAGCUAUGUAGGGAAGGGAUAAACGCUGAAAGCAUCUAAGUGUGAAGCCCACCUCAAGAUGAGAUUUCCCAUUUCUUUAAGAAAGUAAGACCCCUGAGAGAUGAUCAGGUAGAUAGGUUGGAAGUGGAAGGCUAGUGAUAGUUGGAGCGGACCAAUACUAAUCGGUCGAGGACUUAACCAA
RNAcentral lists this ribosomal RNA (2911 nucleotides) under Enterococcus faecalis. RNAcentral describes it as "bacterial LSU rRNA". It matches the Rfam family "Bacterial large subunit ribosomal RNA". The record is from RNAcentral. Lineage: Bacteria; Bacillati; Bacillota; Bacilli; Lactobacillales; Enterococcaceae.